CAGCCGCGUAAUUCCAGCUCCAAUAGUGUAUAUUAAAGUUGUUGCAGUUAAAAAGCUCGUAGUUGAACUUCGGGGUUCACCCAUUGGUCAGGCUUAAUUGUCUGUACUGGUGAGAUGAGUCUCUACCUUCUGAGGAACUUUCAUGCCAUUUAUUUGGUGUGGUUGGAAAUCAGGACUGUUACUUUGAAAAAAUUAGAGUGUUUAAAGCAGGCUAACGUCUGAAUACAUUAGCAUGGAAUAAUGAAAUAGGACGGAUUGAUUCUAUUUCGUUGGUUUCUAGGGUCACCGUAAUGAUUAAUAGGGAUAGUUGGGGGCAUUAGUAUUCAAUUGUCAGAGGUGAAAUUCUUGGAUUUAUUGAAGACUAACUACUGCGAAAGCAUUUGCCAAGGAUGUUUUCAUUAAUCAAGAACGAAAGUUAGGGGAUCGAAGACGAUCAGAUACCGUCGUAGUCUUAACCAUAAACUAUGCCGACUAGGGAUCGGACGCAGUUAAUUUUAUAAUGACGUGUUCGGCACCUUACG
Molecule: ribosomal RNA, 521 nt
Filed under: uncultured Diversispora
Lineage: Eukaryota; Fungi; Glomeromycota; Glomeromycetes; Diversisporales; Diversisporaceae
Description: SSU rRNA
Rfam family: Eukaryotic small subunit ribosomal RNA
Source: RNAcentral